AACGAACGCUGGCGGCAUGCCUAACACAUGCAAGUCGAACGAGACCUUCGGGUCUAGUGGCGCACGGGUGCGUAACGCGUGGGAACCUGCCCUUAGGUUCGGAAUAACUCCCCGAAAGGGGUGCUAAUACCGGAUAAUGUCUUCGGACCAAAGAUUUAUCGCCUUUGGAUGGGCCCGCGUUGGAUUAGCUAGUUGGUAGGGUAAAAGCCUACCAAGGCGACGAUCCAUAGCUGGUCUGAGAGGAUGAUCAGCCACACUGGGACUGAGACACGGCCCAGACUCUUACGGGAGGCAGCAGUGGGGAAUAUUGGACAGUGGGCGAAAGCCUGAUCCAGCAAGGCCGCGUGAGUGAUGAAGGCCUUAGGGUUGUAAAGCUCUUUUACCCGGGAUGAUAAUGACAGUACCGGGAGAAUAAGCUCCGGCUAACUCCGUG
Molecule: ribosomal RNA, 433 nt
Filed under: uncultured bacterium
Lineage: Bacteria
Description: partial 16S ribosomal RNA
Rfam family: Bacterial small subunit ribosomal RNA
Source: RNAcentral